UUUUAUUUGAGAGUUUGAUCCUGGCUCAGGAUGAACGCUGGCGGCGUGCCUAACACAUGCAAGUUGAGCGAUUUACUUCGGUAAAGAGCGGCGGACGGGUGAGUAACGCGUGGGUAACCUACCCUGUACACACGGAUAACAUACCGAAAGGUAUGCUAAUACGGGAUAAUAUAUUUGAGAGGCAUCUCUUAAAUAUCAAAGGUGAGCCAGUACAGGAUGGACCCGCGUCUGAUUAGUUAGUUGGUAAGGUAACGGCUUACCAAGGCGACGAUCAGUAGCCGACCUGAGAGGGUGAUCGGCCACAUUGGAACUGAGACACGGUCCAAACUCCUACGGGAGGCAGCAGUGGGGAAUAUUGCACAAUGGGCGAAAGCCUGAUGCAGCAACGCCGCGGGAGUGAUGAAGGCCUUCGGGUCGUAAAGCUCUGUCCUCAAGGAAGCUAAUGACGGGACUUGGGGGGGAAGACCCGGCUAACUACGUGCCAGCAGCCGCGGUAAUACGUAGGGGGCUAGCGUUAUCCGGAUUUACUGGGCGUAAAGGGUGCGUAGG
This 549-nucleotide ribosomal RNA is filed under the name Clostridioides difficile. RNAcentral describes it as "bacterial SSU rRNA". It matches the Rfam family "Bacterial small subunit ribosomal RNA", at positions 1 to 575 of the family's 1533-position model. The record is from RNAcentral. Lineage: Bacteria; Bacillati; Bacillota; Clostridia; Peptostreptococcales; Peptostreptococcaceae.